Salvia splendens (bonfire salvia) is the source of this 600-nucleotide long non-coding RNA. RefSeq lists it as uncharacterized. Lineage: Eukaryota; Viridiplantae; Streptophyta; Magnoliopsida; Lamiales; Lamiaceae. The record is from RefSeq and is a predicted model, not a curated record. The transcript is spliced from 2 exons.
UAGAAGAGAAAGGGGUAGAGAAUUCUAGAAACAUGUUUAGGAAUAUAUAAGCCUUCUACACCCUCAUUUGAGGGGGGACUUCCGGCUCCACUCUUCCUCAAUAAAAGGGAAUUUUUUUAUAUGAUCUCUAGGCUACAUUUCAAGAAGAGUGUGAUAUGAGAUCGUGUGGGGCAAAAUCAAGUACUGUUACACAGAAAUGUGAUGUUCGUCCUACGAGGACUAUACGGAUCUCGCCCUAUACGGGCUAUAUGGUGCCCACUAUCGGGCUAUACGAAAAUAUGAUGAUUGUCCUACGAAGACUAUACGGAUCUCGCCCUAUACGGGCUAUAUGGUGACCACUAUUGGGCUAUACGGAUGUGUGAUGUUCGUCCUAUGAGGACUAUAUGGCUUUUGCCCUAUACGGGCUAUACGGUUGACAUGAUGUGAUUCUCGCCCUAUAUGGGCUAUAUGUUGCCCACUAUUUGGGCUAUAUGUUGAUAGUCUGUGUGCCCGUGUUAUUGCCGAGCACGACAGGGGGCUAUAUGAUGUGAUUUAUUAACUAUAUGAUGUGGCUGGAUUAAUGAUAUUCAAGGUUAAAUGUGUCUAUAUGGAUGAGAUUAA